Molecule: ribosomal RNA, 44 nt
Filed under: Chlamydomonas sp. 850
Lineage: Eukaryota; Viridiplantae; Chlorophyta; Chlorophyceae; Chlamydomonadales; Chlamydomonadaceae
Description: partial 28S ribosomal RNA
Source: RNAcentral
CGACCUGAGCUCAGGGAAGGCCACCCGCUGAACUUAAGCAUAUC